This is a long non-coding RNA of Cucurbita maxima (winter squash), 134 nucleotides long. RefSeq lists it as uncharacterized. The record is from RefSeq and is a predicted model, not a curated record. The transcript has 3 exons. Lineage: Eukaryota; Viridiplantae; Streptophyta; Magnoliopsida; Cucurbitales; Cucurbitaceae.
UGAAGAUAUAAAAGUAAAAAGGAAAUGAGUGAUAUGAACAUCCAGUAAUCUCAACAUACUGAAUCUUAAAAUACAUCAAUAAUUGGCGUUAAAAUAAGGCAGCAGACUCAGACUGUGGGUUACCUGUAAUCUUU